Molecule: ribosomal RNA, 293 nt
Filed under: uncultured bacterium
Lineage: Bacteria
Description: partial 16S ribosomal RNA
Rfam family: Bacterial small subunit ribosomal RNA
Source: RNAcentral
GGAUUAGAUACCCUGGUAGUCCACGCCGUAAACGAUGAGUACUAGCCGUUGGGCCCCAUGAGGGCUUAGUGGCGCAGCUAACGCGUUAAGUACUCCGCCUGGGGAUUACGGUCGCAAGACUAAAACUCAAAGGAAUUGACGGGGGCCCGCACAAGCGGUGGAGCAUGUGGUUUAAUUCGAUGCAACGCGAAAAACCUUACCUACUCUUGACAUCCCUGGAAGAAAUUAGAGAUAAUUUUGUGCCUUCGGGAACCAGGUGACAGGUGCUGCAUGGCUGUCGUCAGCUCGUGUUG